Molecule: ribosomal RNA, 447 nt
Filed under: uncultured bacterium
Lineage: Bacteria
Description: SSU rRNA
Rfam family: Bacterial small subunit ribosomal RNA
Source: RNAcentral
AGAGCGAACGCUGGCGGCAGGCUUAACACAUGCAAGUCGAGCGGAUGUAGCAAUACAUCAGCGGCAGACGGGUGAGUAACACGUGGGAACGUACCUUUUGGUUCGGAACAACACAGGGAAAACUUGUGCUAAUACCGGAUAAGCCCUUACGGGGAAAGAUUUAUCGCCGAAAGAUCGGCCCGCGUCUGAUUAGCUAGUUGGUGAGGUAAUGGCUCACCAAGGCGACGAUCAGUAGCUGGUCUGAGAGGAUGAUCAGCCACAUUGGGACUGAGACACGGCCCAAACUCCUACGGGAGGCAGCAGUGGGAAUAUUGGACAAUGGGCGCAAGCCUGAUCCAGCCAUGCCGCGUGAGUGAUGAAGGCCCUAGGGUUGUAAAGCUCUUUUGUGCGGGAAGAUAAUGACGGUACCGCAAGAAUAAGCCCGGCUAACUUCGCGCCAGCAGCCGC